Molecule: ribosomal RNA, 221 nt
Filed under: uncultured Anaerolineaceae bacterium
Lineage: Bacteria; Bacillati; Chloroflexota; Anaerolineae; Anaerolineales; Anaerolineaceae
Description: partial 16S ribosomal RNA
Rfam family: Bacterial small subunit ribosomal RNA
Source: RNAcentral
CGACGAGGAAGGUGAGGAUGAUGUCAAGUCAGCAUGACCUUUAUAUCCAGGGCUACACACACGCUACAAUGGUCUGUACAAUGGGUAGCCAAGCCGCGAGGCGGAGCCAAUCCUGAAAGCAGGCCUCAGUUCAGAUUGCAGUCUGCAACUCGACUGCAUGAAGCCGGAGUUGCUAGUAACCGCAGGUCAGCAAUACUGCGGUGAAUACGUUCCCGGGUCUU